Molecule: long non-coding RNA, 230 nt
Organism: Hibiscus syriacus
Lineage: Eukaryota; Viridiplantae; Streptophyta; Magnoliopsida; Malvales; Malvaceae
Exons: 3
Source: RefSeq, a predicted model, not a curated record
CAGUCUCUAGGGUUCAUCGGUUCCGGGGUGUCGUUGCUCUGCUUGAACUUCGCAAAGUCACCCGAAAUCGCUCCUGUAUUGCUGACAGCAGCCCUGAGCUUGAGUUCUUUCAGCCAAGCUGGUUUUCUUCUCAACAUGCAAGACAUUGCACCUCAAUAUGCAGGAUUUCUCCACGGCAUAUCAAAUUCAGCUGGGACACUGGCCGCCAUUAUCAGCACCAUCGGAACCGG